This 274-nucleotide ribosomal RNA is filed under the name uncultured bacterium. RNAcentral describes it as "partial 16S ribosomal RNA". It matches the Rfam family "Bacterial small subunit ribosomal RNA", at positions 523 to 796 of the family's 1533-position model. The record is from RNAcentral.
AUACGGAGGGUGCAAGCGUUACUCGGAAUUACUGGGCGUAAAGGACGCGUAGGCGGUUUAGAAAGUCAGAUGUGAAAGCCUAUGGCUUAACCAUAGAACUGCAUUUGAAACUUCCAAACUAGAGUGGGGGAGAGGUCAGUGGAAUUAGUGGUGUAGGGGUAAAAUCCGUAGAGAUCACUAGGAAUACUCAUUGCGAAGGCGACUGACUGGAACUUAACUGACGCUCAGGCGUGAAAGCGUGGGGAGCAAACAGGAUUAGAUACCCUAGUAGUCC